This is a non-coding RNA of Doryrhamphus excisus (bluestripe pipefish), 2439 nucleotides long. The record is from RefSeq and is a predicted model, not a curated record. Lineage: Eukaryota; Metazoa; Chordata; Actinopteri; Syngnathiformes; Syngnathidae.
CCCAGGACUAUUACAGGCGUGGUUCAUUUGCUUGCAUUUGUUCCUCAUACACUUUGCUUCCCUUUUUUAGUCAAAUUGGGGUCAUUUGGUUAUAAAGCCCGUUUCAUAAUUCAAGAAAAAAAACAAAGUGUGGCUGAAUAGGAGCUUAUAAAGCUGAAAUAUGGCUAUUUAGCGGCAUAAUUAGCAGUACUUACUGUUGAGCUGGAGGAUGGAGUCGUAGACUUUACACUGGAUCUGGCCGGUGCUCUGGAAGGCACAGGACAUCCACAGGCCUUCAUACAUGGCCACCGCCGUGAUAAUGUUGUCCCCGACGUAGGCCGACAUCUUCCACUGCGGCAGAAUGGUGCCCACUAUCAAGCCAAUUAGGCCCAGAAGUGACAGGACGAAGCCCAACAUCUGUAAACCCGAGUUGGCCAUUUUCUCUUGUUCGUCGACGAUGACCUGAUUUCAAAAAGGAACGUCCACCUGCUCAAAAUAUCCCCAACGCCUCUAAAUCAAACGUCUUUAAUUUGACUUCCUCUCUUGAGUUAAAAAGAAAGUUUUAAAAAGAAUUCCAACUGUUGUCCGUAAGGAGAAAAUAAUACUUUCUUUAAUGGCGGUACUUGUGUCUGUAAUGGCUGCCGAUGUCCCCUCGCGCACCUGUUGCUCUGCCGCACCUUGAAUCGGGAGGGGACAGCGAGAGCGAGCAUUUUAGGCGGUUUCCGUCGCAGGUGGGCGGGGACGCGCACGCAGUUUCGACGCAUACGUCGCCGAAAGGCGCGCCUUCAGUUUCAUGACGUCGGCACUUCCGGAAAACUGCCUGUUGAUGUGUCACGCGCGACCCGAUAAAAACCGAUAGUAGAUUGUUAGUUUGGUGGGGAGGACAAAUGUCAUAAAUACCUUUCAGUUGAGGAGUAACAUAGUCUUUGUUUUUGCAUUAAUUCACAAAUCGACCUAUAAUUAUCGCUCGUUCAACCGUGUCGUUUACUACACUCUCGAGUAGUAAUUGUAAUCAUUUUUGAAGGUGAAUUUGUAACAGUAGUGGAGGGUUUUAGCUGUCAGUUAUUUGUCAAGCAACCCACACCUGUGUUAUCUAAUCACUCAGUACACAUAUGUAUGAUGUAUGCUGUAAUUGGACAAUAUAGUGCUAUUGUAACGAGCACUCAAGUGUUGACAUACGUAUACCCUACAUUGAUACUGGAGACUUUGCCCACUGGCGCUGUGAGUCACACUCGCACAGGCGUGUCGUGUCUUUUUCUGCUUCUUGACCAAGACAACUACUCACCCGAAGAGAAACUGCUACUAAAACUGUUUACUACUCGACAAGGAGUGUCUGUGCUUGGCGGUCUGUCUAGGUCCUCCUGCUUCCGGUUUCCAGGACUCGUGCACGCAAUGCAAUGCAGGUCUUCGCAAGACAAGAAGAUUGGCGUGAGACAGAGACGCCGGGAGCCCAGAAGAGUAGGAAAGAGGAAGUUUUUGGAAGACGUGCGUGACCGUAACUCUGAGCCCACAGAGGAAGGCGUCAUCCUUUAGCUGACAAGGCAAUUCAGGACUUUGUGACCUUUCUCUGUCCACUUUGCUGCCCUGGGAGUUUAUUCCCAUUCAACGCCCACUCCCUGGCCAGAGCAACACAAGCCUUGGCUCCUCACCCACGACUAGACCACCAAAGCUUGGAGCUAUUUUAAGAUCCUCUGACAGGUUUGAUAUCCUUUGCUCUGCUAACACAAAGAGGAGAGGAUCGAUAGAUGAUCCGCUUCAUUCAUUAUUAAACAGACCAGAGAGCAAAAGGGGCAAAAAGAAAAGAAAGCGAGGAGAAAAAGUAGAAAAAAGUGAGCGGAAGAUCACUUGGAGAGGACGUAAGUCACGGAUCCAGAGGACAAACGGAGAUGCUCUUCGACAUCCCGCAAGACCAAAUCCAAGAAUUGUGGCCAAACAUUCCCCGUGCCCCUUGAUCUGACAGACCAUCACGCCGACUAAGUACCCUUGGGCUCAACCUUUGAAGUGACACCAGUGAUAACCCCUCUCUCAAGUAAUCCUGUAAUUACCCUUCAUAAUCACUCCCUUGAAAUCAAGCAAACUAUAGAAACCGCAUCGGCUGCCUUUCAUUCAUGUAAUCUCCAAAGGGAUGGAUGGCGUCAUUAGAUGAGGGGAAAAAAUAUCCAGACACGACCAUGCAAUCAUUGUUCAAUAAAAUGAUUUUUCAUGGCCGUUUAGCACAGAGGUCCAAAUCCUUGUCACUGUAAUUACAUCUAUUUUUGAAACUCACCUUGAAGUAACCUCCGGAUCCGAGCGGAAUCCAAUAUGUACUAACACCCAGAUUAGUUUGUUUGGUUGGGUUGUCAAAAGUAUGUACGGCUGUCCCUCCUUUAUCGCGGUUAAUCAGUUCCACACCCCAUGAGUGAUAAGUGAAUUUCCUCAAUGCAGGAUUCCUGACUUGUAAACCAAAUAUAUUUGCAUAAA